GCAUCUGUUUGAUAUCAAAGGUCAGCUGGUACAGGAUGGACCCGCGUCUGAUUAGCUAGUUGGUGAGAUAAAAGCUCACCAAGGCGACGAUCAGUAGCCGACCUGAGAGGGUGAUCGGCCACAUUGGAACUGAGACACGGUCCAAACUCCUACGGGAGGCAGCAGUGGGGAAUAUUGCACAAUGGGAGAAAGCCUGAUGCAGCAACGCCGCGUGAGUGAUGAAGGUUUUCGGAUCGUAAAACUCUGUCCUCAAGGAAGAUAAUGACGGUACUUGAGGAGGAAGCCCCGGCUAACUACGUGCCAGCAGCCGCGGUAAUACGUAGGGGGCUAGCGUUAUCCGGAUUUACUGGGCGUAAAGGGUGCGUAGGCGGUCUUUCAAGUCAGAAGUUAAAUUCUACGGCUCAACCGUAGCCAGCUUUUGAAACUGGAAGACUUGAGUGCAGGAGAGGAGAGUAGAAUUCCUAGUGUAGCGGUGAAAUGCGUAGAUAUUAGGAGGAAUACCAGUAGCGAAGGCGGCUCUCUGGACUGUAACUGACGCUGAGGCACGAAAGCGUGGGGAGCGAACAGGAUUAGAUACCCUGGUAGUCCACGCCGUAAACGAUGAGUACUAGGUGUCGGGGGUUACCCCCCUCGGUGCCGCAGCUAACGCAUUAAGUACUCCGCCUGGGGAGUACGCUCGCAAGAGUGAAACUCAAGGAAUUGACGGGGACCCGCACAAGUAGCGGAGCAUGUGGUUUAAUUCGAAGCAACGCGAAGAACCUUACCUAAGCUUGACAUCCUGGUGACCUCUCCCUAAUCGGAGAUUUCCCUUCGGGGACACCAGUGACAGGUGGUGCAUGGUUGUCGUCAGCUCGUGCCGUGAGAUGUUGGGUUAAGUCCCGCAACGA
RNAcentral lists this ribosomal RNA (887 nucleotides) under uncultured bacterium. RNAcentral describes it as "bacterial SSU rRNA". It matches the Rfam family "Bacterial small subunit ribosomal RNA", at positions 188 to 1095 of the family's 1533-position model. The record is from RNAcentral.